GGGUUGUGAGGUUAAGCGACUAAGCGUACACGGUGGAUGCCCUGGCAGUCAGAGGCGAUGAAGGGCGUGCUAAUCUGCGAUAAGCGCCGGUAAGGUGAUAUGAACCGUUAUAACCGGCGAUACCCGAAUGGGGAAACCCAGUGUGAUUCGUCACACUAUCAUUAACUGAAUCCAUAGGUUAAUGAGGCGAACCGGGGGAACUGAAACAUCUAAGUACCCCGAGGAAAAGAAAUCAACCGAGAUUCCCCCAGUAGCGGCGAGCGAACGGGGAGGAGCCCAGAGCCUGAAUCAGCAUGUGUGUUAGUGGAAGCGUCUGGAAAGGCGCGCGAUACAGGGUGACAGCCCCGUACACAAAAGCGCAUAUGCUGUGAGCUCGAUGAGUAGGGCGGGACACGUGGUAUCCUGUCUGAAUAUGGGGGGACCAUCCUCCAAGGCUAAAUACUCCUGACUGACCGAUAGUGAACCAGUACCGUGAGGGAAAGGCGAAAAGAACCCCGGCGAGGGGAGUGAAAAAGAACCUGAAACCGUGUACGUACAAGCAGUGGGAGCCCCACCACUAAGCCAGUGGUGAACUCCACAUACGCAUCCUUUGCUGAGGAGACGGUUAACGGAGCGAAAGCGACGUUCAACCUCAAAAGAAGCAGAGGGGGCUUAGUGGUGGGGUGACUGCGUACCUUUUGUAUAAUGGGUCAGCGACUUAUAUUCUGUAGCAAGGUUAACUGUAUAGGGGAGCCGGAGGGAAACCGAGUCUUAACCGGGCGUUAAGUUGCAGGGUAUAGACCCGAAACCCGGUGAUCUAGCCAUGGGCAGGUUGAAGGUUGGGUAACACUAACUGGAGGACCGAACCGACUAAUGUUGAAAAAUUAGCGGAUGACCUGUGGCUGGGGGUGAAAGGCCAAUCAAACCGGGAGAUAGCUGGUUCUCCCCGAAAGCUAUUUAGGUAGCGCCUCGUGAAUUCAUCUCCGGGGGUAGAGCACUGUUUCGGCUAGGGGGCCAUCCCGGCUUACCAACCCGAUGCAAACUGCGAAUACCGGAGAAUGUUAUCACGGGAGACACACGGCGGGUGCUAAUGUCCGUCGUGAAGAGGGAAACAACCCAGACCGCCAGCUAAGGUCCCAAAGUCAUGGUUAAGUGGGAAACGAUGUGGGAAGGCCCAGACAGCCAGGAUGUUGGCUUAGAAGCAGCCAUCAUUUAAAGAAAGCGUAAUAGCUCACUGGUCGAGUCGGCCUGCGCGGAAGAUGUAACGGGGCUAAACCAUGCACCGAAGCUGCGGCAGCGACACCGUGUGUUGUUGGGUAGGGGAGCGUUCUGUAAGCCUGUGAAGGUGUGCUGUGAGGCAUGCUGGAGGUAUCAGAAGUGCGAAUGCUGACAUAAGUAACGAUAAAGCGGGUGAAAAGCCCGCUCGCCGGAAGACCAAGGGUUCCUGUCCAACGUUAAUCGGGGCAGGGUGAGUCGACCCCUAAGGCGAGGCCGAAAGGCGUAGUCGAUGGGAAACGGGUUAAUAUUCCCGUACUUGGUGUUACUGCGAAGGGGGGACGGAGAAGGCUAUGUUGGCCGGGCGACGGUUGUCCCGGUUUAAGCGUGUAGGUAUGUGUUCCAGGUAAAUCCGGUUCACUUUAACACUGAGGCGUGACGACGAGGCACUACGGUGCUGAAGCAACAAAUGCCCUGCUUCCAGGAAAAGCCUCUAAGCAUCAGGUAACAUCAAAUCGUACCCCAAACCGACACAGGUGGUCAGGUAGAGAAUACCAAGGCGCUUGAGAGAACUCGGGUGAAGGAACUAGGCAAAAUGGUGCCGUAACUUCGGGAGAAGGCACGCUGACACGUAGGUGAAGUGAUUUACUCACGGAGCUGAAGUCAGCCGAAGAUACCAGCUGGCUGCAACUGUUUAUUAAAAACACAGCACUGUGCAAACACGAAAGUGGACGUAUACGGUGUGACGCCUGCCCGGUGCCGGAAGGUUAAUUGAUGGGGUCAGCGCAAGCGAAGCUCCUGAUCGAAGCCCCGGUAAACGGCGGCCGUAACUAUAACGGUCCUAAGGUAGCGAAAUUCCUUGUCGGGUAAGUUCCGACCUGCACGAAUGGCGUAAUGAUGGCCAGGCUGUCUCCACCCGAGACUCAGUGAAAUUGAACUCGCUGUGAAGAUGCAGUGUACCCGCGGCAAGACGGAAAGACCCCGUGAACCUUUACUAUAGCUUGACACUGAACAUUGAGCCUUGAUGUGUAGGAUAGGUGGGAGGCUUUGAAGUGUGGACGCCAGUCUGCAUGGAGCCGACCUUGAAAUACCACCCUUUAAUGUUUGAUGUUCUAACGUGGACCCGUGAUCCGGGUUGCGGACAGUGUCUGGUGGGUAGUUUGACUGGGGCGGUCUCCUCCUAAAGAGUAACGGAGGAGCACGAAGGUUGG
Molecule: ribosomal RNA, 2405 nt
Filed under: Salmonella enterica
Lineage: Bacteria; Pseudomonadati; Pseudomonadota; Gammaproteobacteria; Enterobacterales; Enterobacteriaceae
Also listed under: 1 other name
Description: partial 23S ribosomal RNA
Rfam family: Bacterial large subunit ribosomal RNA
Source: RNAcentral